This 460-nucleotide ribosomal RNA is filed under the name uncultured bacterium. Its description in RNAcentral is "partial 16S ribosomal RNA". It matches the Rfam family "Bacterial small subunit ribosomal RNA", at positions 338 to 795 of the family's 1533-position model. The record is from RNAcentral.
CCUACGGGUGGCAGCAGUGAGGAAUAUUGGUCAAUGGACGAAAGUCUGAACCAGCCAAGUAGCGUGAAGGAUGACUGCCCUAUGGGUUGUAAACUUCUUUUAUAUGGGAAUAAAAUGUUCCACGUGUGGGGUUUUGUAUGUACCGUAUGAAUAAGGACCGGCUAACUCCGUGCCAGCAGCCGCGGUAAUACGGAGGGUCCGAGCGUUAUCCGGAUUUAUUGGGUUUAAAGGGAGCGUAGGCGGAUUGUUAAGUCAGUUGUGAAAGGUUGUGGCUCAACCGUAGAAUUGCAGUUGAAACUGGCAGUCUUGAGUACGGGAGAGGUGGGCGGAAUUCGUGGUGUAGCGGUGAAAUGCUUAGAUAUCACGAAGAACUCCGAUUGCGAAGGCAGCUAACUGGACCGCAACUGACACUGAGGCUCGAAAGUGUGGGUAUCAAACAGGAUUAGAUACCCGUGUAGUC